RNAcentral lists this ribosomal RNA (253 nucleotides) under uncultured bacterium. RNAcentral describes it as "partial 16S ribosomal RNA". It matches the Rfam family "Bacterial small subunit ribosomal RNA", at positions 524 to 776 of the family's 1533-position model. The record is from RNAcentral.
UACGAAGGGGGCUAGCGUUGCUCGGAAUCACUGGGCGUAAAGCGCACGUAGGCGGGUUGCUAAGUCAGGGGUGAAAUCCUGGAGCUCAACUCCAGAACUGCCCUUGAUACUGGCGGCCUUGAGUCCGGGAGAGGUGAGUGGAGCUGCGAGUGUAGAGGUGAAAUUCGUAGAUAUCGAGAGGAACACCAGUGGCGAAGGCGAGUCUCUGGACGACUCCUGACACUGAGGCACGAAAGCUGGGGGAGCAAACAGG